ACGCUGGCGGCGUGCCUAACACAUGCAAGUCGAGCGGGAAGCUUUAAAUUGAGACUUCGGUUGAUUUUUAAAGUGGAGAGCGGCGGACGGGUGAGUAACGCGUGAGUAACCUGCCUUCAAGAGGGGGAUAACACAGAGAAAUCUGUGCUAAUACCGCAUAACACCACAGUAUCGCAUGAUACCAUGGUCAAAGAUUUAUCGCUUGAAGAUGGACUCGCGUCUGAUUAGCUAGUUGGUGAGGUAACGGCUCACCAAGGCGACGAUCAGUAGCCGAACUGAGAGGUUGAUCGGCCACAUUGGGACUGAGACACGGCCCAGACUCCUACGGGAGGCAGCAGUGGGGAAUAUUGCGCAAUGGGGGCAACCCUGACGCAGCAACGCCGCGUUGAGGAUGACGGUUUUCGGAUUGUAAACUCAUGUCGGGUGGGAAGAUGAUGACGGUACCACCGGAGAAAGUCACGGCUAACUACGUG
This 473-nucleotide ribosomal RNA is filed under the name uncultured bacterium. RNAcentral describes it as "bacterial SSU rRNA". It matches the Rfam family "Bacterial small subunit ribosomal RNA", at positions 33 to 507 of the family's 1533-position model. The record is from RNAcentral.